This is a long non-coding RNA of Nicotiana tabacum (common tobacco), 639 nucleotides long. RefSeq lists it as uncharacterized. The record is from RefSeq and is a predicted model, not a curated record. NCBI's taxonomy places the organism in Eukaryota, Viridiplantae, Streptophyta, Magnoliopsida, Solanales, Solanaceae.
CUAUAAAAUUGAUAUUACAAUGUGGUUUCUCUUGAAUUUCUUAUUCGAGUUCUUCAUUACAAUCAACUAACUUCCUAGAUUAGAACUAAAGCAUUAUCCACUAAAUAAGUUGAUUCUUAUACAAGGACAUAUGAAUUGUUUGCAUUACACGAAGCUUCGAAAAGCGAGAUGUCAGCAAAAAUUUGUGAAACUGUCGAUUUGCUCACACAGAAAUUUCCAGUAUUCGAACUUCGCGAUGACGACUUUCCGGUUACGAACGAACCCUUCCCCAAGGUUCACAAGCAUAUACUUUCAUGAUCUAUUUGAUAGAUUCUGGAGGUUUAGAACAUACACUCGCGUGCAAUAUUCUAAUACUUACGGCAACAUUAAACAUCAUUUCAGUCAAUACAAUUUUCGUCUCACUUCUUAUACUUAUUUAGAGAAAAGAGAUAUAUAUCACCAAAUUAGGAAGAAAAGGGAGGGAUUUUGUUUUAUUUUAUGCAUUGCAAAUCAACCAUCGUAUUUUAUCAGUAUUUAAAGCAUUUGUUAAAGUGAUGUGUUGGAACAUUUGGAUGCCCCUAUCUUGUAAGUUGUAACAUGUAUAGGGCUUGAAGUAUGGAAAUUGAGCACUUGGUUUGUAAUUGAAAAUAAUUUAUAUUA